Picea glauca (white spruce) is the source of this 119-nucleotide non-coding RNA. The record is from Rfam. NCBI's taxonomy places the organism in Eukaryota, Viridiplantae, Streptophyta, Pinopsida, Pinales, Pinaceae.
GGGUGCGAUCAUACCAGCGUUAAUGCACCGGAUCCCAUCAGAACACCACAGUUAAGCGCACUUGGGCUAGAGUAGUACUGGGAUGGGUGACCUCCUGGUAAGUCCUAGUGUUGCACCCU